This 72-nucleotide transfer RNA is filed under the name bacterium. Its description in RNAcentral is "tRNA-Thr". It matches the Rfam family "tRNA". Rfam says of the family: Transfer RNA (tRNA) molecules are approximately 80 nucleotides in length. RNAcentral also lists the same sequence under 3 other names. The record is from RNAcentral.
GCCGGUGUAGCUCAGAGGCAGAGCAGCUGAUUCGUAAUCAGCGGGUCGGAGGUUCAACUCCUCUCACCGGCU